Molecule: ribosomal RNA, 253 nt
Filed under: uncultured bacterium
Lineage: Bacteria
Description: partial 16S ribosomal RNA
Rfam family: Bacterial small subunit ribosomal RNA
Source: RNAcentral
UACGUAGGGUCCGAGCGUUGUCCGGAAUUAUUGGGCGUAAAGAGCUCGUAGGCGGUUUGUCGCGUCUGCUGUGAAAUCCCGAGGCUCAACCUCGGGCCUGCAGUGGGUACGGGCAGACUGGAGUGCGGUAGGGGAGAAUGGAAUUCCUGGUGUAGCGGUGGAAUGCGCAGAUAUCAGGAGGAACACCGGUGGCGAAGGCGACAUCCUGGACCGGUAUUGACGCUGAGGCGCGAAAGCCAGGGGAGCAAGCGGG